This 63-nucleotide transfer RNA is filed under the name bovine gut metagenome. It matches the Rfam family "tRNA", at positions 6 to 65 of the family's 71-position model. From Rfam's summary of the family: Transfer RNA (tRNA) molecules are approximately 80 nucleotides in length. The record is from RNAcentral.
CAUAGCUCAAUCGGUGGAGCAGCAGACUCUUAAUCUGAAGGCUGCGGGUUCAAGUCCCGCUGC